CAAUCCAAAGGUCGCCAGUUCGAGCCUGGCAGGGAGCAGCUUCCUUGGCUCAGUUGGUAGAGCGUUGGUCUCAUAGU
This 77-nucleotide transfer RNA is filed under the name Rhizoctonia solani AG-1 IB. RNAcentral describes it as "tRNA-Met". The record is from RNAcentral. Lineage: Eukaryota; Fungi; Basidiomycota; Agaricomycetes; Cantharellales; Ceratobasidiaceae.